The sequence is a regulatory RNA element, 129 nucleotides long. It matches the Rfam family "ALIL pseudoknot". The record is from Rfam.
CGCGUUCGCGGCGGCGGAGGUCGACCGCCGUCUGCGGUGGUCGUCGACGACAUCGACGCGCACCGCGACCGGUUCGGGGUCGACCCGAUCUGCGCUGUGCCCACCGAGCACGGUACGCCGAUCGCCCCG